AGGCCACAGAUGCGGGAUACUCCUGUAGGAAAGGCCACACUUGAACCAAUCCAUCCAUAUGGAUUGAUUCUCAACCUCGACGAAGCCAGUUUCAAAGAUUGGGAGGAUCUGAUCGACGAAUGGGCUUCAUCAUUGAAUAUCGUAGUCACCACAAUUGAGUACGAUAAAAAGGAGUUUGCCAAAAUCUUCGAAGCAAGUCU
RNAcentral lists this long non-coding RNA (200 nucleotides) under Salvia miltiorrhiza (redroot sage). RNAcentral's name for it is "long non-coding RNA (SMIL_LNC013338)". Lineage: Eukaryota; Viridiplantae; Streptophyta; Magnoliopsida; Lamiales; Lamiaceae. The record is from RNAcentral.